RNAcentral lists this ribosomal RNA (253 nucleotides) under uncultured bacterium. RNAcentral describes it as "partial 16S ribosomal RNA". It matches the Rfam family "Bacterial small subunit ribosomal RNA", at positions 524 to 776 of the family's 1533-position model. The record is from RNAcentral.
UACGUAGGGCGCAAGCGUUGUCCGGAAUUAUUGGGCGUAAAGAGCUCGUAGGCGGCUUGUCACGUCGGGUGUGAAAGCCCGGGGCUUAACCCCGGGUCUGCAUUCGAUACGGGCUAGCUAGAGUGUGGUAGGGGAGAUCGGAAUUCCUGGUGUAGCGGUGAAAUGCGCAGAUAUCAGGAGGAACACCGGUGGCGAAGGCGGCGACCUGGUCCGAUACUGACGCUGAGGCGCGAGAGCGUGGGGAGCAAACAGG